UGGCGAACGGGUGAGUAACACGUGGGUGAUCUGCCUUGCACUCUGGGAUAAGCUUGGGAAACUGGGUCUAAUACCGGAUAGGAACCGUCUUUAGUGUGGUGGUUGGAAAGUUUUUUCGGUGCAAGAUGAGCUCGCGGCCUAUCAGCUUGUUGGUGGGGUAAUGGCCUACCAAGGCGUCGACGGGUAGCCGGCCUGAGAGGGUGUACGGCCACAUUGUGACUGAGAUACGGCCCAG
Molecule: ribosomal RNA, 235 nt
Filed under: uncultured Actinomycetales bacterium
Lineage: Bacteria; Bacillati; Actinomycetota; Actinomycetes; Actinomycetales
Description: partial 16S ribosomal RNA
Rfam family: Bacterial small subunit ribosomal RNA
Source: RNAcentral